CGUACACUCCUGCGGGAGGCAGCAGUGGGGAAUCUUGCGCAAUGGGCGAAAGCCUGACGCAGCCAUGCCGCGUGAAUGAUGAAGGUCUUAGGAUUGUAAAAUUCUUUCACCGGGGACGAUAAUGACGGUACCCGGAGAAGAAGCCCCGGCUAACUUCGUGCCAGCAGCCGCGGUAAUACGAAGGGGGCUAGCGUUGCUCGGAAUUACUGGGCGUAAAGGGAGCGUAGGCGGACAUUUAAGUCAGGGGUGAAAUCCCGGGGCUCAACCUCGGAAUUGCCUUUGAUACUGGGUGUCUUGAGUAUGAGAGAGGUGUGUGGAACUCCGAGUGUAGAGGUGAAAUUCGUAGAUAUUCGGAAGAACACCAGUGGCGAAGGCGACACACUGGCUCAUUACUGACGCUGAGGCUCGAAAGCGUGGGGAGCAAACAGGAUUAGAUACCCCUGUAGUCCCA
RNAcentral lists this ribosomal RNA (451 nucleotides) under uncultured organism. RNAcentral's name for it is "partial 16S ribosomal RNA". It matches the Rfam family "Bacterial small subunit ribosomal RNA", at positions 330 to 797 of the family's 1533-position model. The record is from RNAcentral.